Molecule: non-coding RNA, 1426 nt
Organism: Leptonychotes weddellii (Weddell seal)
Lineage: Eukaryota; Metazoa; Chordata; Mammalia; Carnivora; Phocidae
Source: RefSeq, a predicted model, not a curated record
UCAUUCUCUUCAGCAUUUUCCUCCAGCAUCUCCUAUCUUACUGAACUAGAUGGAUGGUGCUGCUUUGGUGCAACGGCAGGCCGUAUUUCAGUCUCUCCUCUGUGUCCUUCCAUCAGACUGUGGCUCUGUUUCCUGAAGAAGCCUAGAAGCAAUAAUGUUCCAGUAACACUGGGCAUACCUCGUACACAGAUGCUGAUUUCUAAAUACUAUUCUCCACUGAGAGGAACCCAGUUUCUUUGGGGGAAAUGGCUGAUUUUAAGUCUGGGAUACAGGAAAUACACAGUAAGUUGGAAACAUCUUGUGCAAAAAACUAAGGAAGUACUCAAAAUUAAUGGGGACAUGUCAAAAAAGAUACAGGAAUUAGCUUAAAGUUUUUCCUGCUGCCCAAAUUUGUGAUACACUGAACAUCAAAAAGAACAACAAUGAUAAUGGUUUAUAUCAUCUCGAGUCAGAAAAGAACCCAUUAGUCCAUAGUGACACUCAAACUAAAGGUGGUGGUGGAGGUGAGCUUUCUUCUUUCAAAGGCUGCCAGCUAAUAAAUGUGGAAAAAAUUAUAGAAUUAGAAAAAUCACCAUUUGCAGCCACCAUUAUAAUCAUCAUCAGGAUCAUCAAAGGAUGCUAAAAUUGUGUUCUUCUUUGUGGAGUAAUGCACAGAGAAUUAGGAGCAGAACCUCUAAAGCUGCAGGAGAGAUAGGCAUACCUGAUCUACCUCUGGGACUUUGAAGAAGUGGCUUGGACUUAGUCCAGUUUAGCACAGAGUGGAUUGUGGAUAUGCCCACUAAGAUUCUAUAACCCAGAAUGUCCUGAUGUUGGCUACCAUAUGUCAUAAUUAUCUUGAGGGGUGUGAGGGGGUGGAGCUUAGAAUAACCAUAGCCCUCUUUGGGUGGUGAUUCUUUUGAAGGGAAACAAUUCUCCUGGUGAUCAUCCACUUGACUAGUAGUUGUAAAUUAUUGUGGUGCAAAAUUUAAGGAUGGAGGAGGUACAGGAACUAGAGAAGAAGAACUUUUUUCUCUUUUGAGUCCUUGCUGGGAGUAUGAUGUGGACCUUGAGACGUCAAGAUAGGCAGGGGCCAAACAGGGAGGCAGUCAAGGCAGGGUCCCACUGGGGGUGGCAUCUUUGACAGAAGCCAUUUUUGAGGACAGUAAGAGGUGACUGCCUGCGCUAAACUUCCCUGCCAACAUUUCUCAGCUCUGGUGGGGGGAUCAGGGAAGGGCUUGUCCCAGCCAGGGCUCAGUGGUAAAGGGCAAAAUGUUACCUCUCCCCUGUAGGGCAAAGGGGUGAUAAUGAGGAUGUCCCAAGUUAGCAAAAAUACACAAAUAUUUUCCGAAGGGCGUAAGUUCUGUAUAAAUCAAUUAGUUGAUGGAGUGUGUACCCAUUAUUCAUUGGUUCUGUCUUUUCCUUAUAAUAAAUUCACAAUCUCCUAUCA